AGAGUUUGAUCCUGGCUCAGGACGAACGCUGGCGGCGUGCCUAAUACAUGCAAGUCGAACGCUUCUUUCCUCCCGAGUGCUUGCUCCACCGGAAAAAGAAGAGUGGCGAACGGGUGAGUAACACGUGGGUAACCUACCCAUCAGAGGGGGAUAACACUUGGAAACAGGUGCUAAUACCGCAUAACAGUUUAUGCCGCAUGGCAUAAGAGUGAAAGGCGCUUUCGGGUGUCGCUGAUGGAUGGACCCGCGGUGCAUUAGCUAGUUGGUGAGGUAACGGCUCACCAAGGCCACGAUGCAUAGCCGACCUGAGAGGGUGAUCGGCCACACUGGGACUGAGACACGGCCCAGACUCUACGGGAGGCAGCAGUAGGGAAUCUUCGGCAAUGGACGAAAGUCUGACCGAGCAACGCCGCGUGAGUGAAGAAGGUUUUCGGAUCGUAAAACUCUGUUGUUAGAGAAGAACAAGGACGUUAGUAACUGAACGUCCCCUGACGGUAUCUAACCAGAAAGCCACGGCUAACUACGUGCCAGCAGCCGCGGUAAUACGUAGGUGGCAAGCGUUGUCCGGAUUUAUUGGGCGUAAAGCGAGCGCAGGCGGUUUCUUAAGUCUGAUGUGAAAGCCCCCGGCUCAACCGGGGAGGGUCAUUGGAAACUGGGAGACUUGAGUGCAGAAGAGGAGAGUGGAAUUCCAUGUGUAGCGGUGAAAUGCGUAGAUAUAUGGAGGAACACCAGUGGCGAAGGCGGCUCUCUGGUCUGUAACUGACGCUGAGGCUCGAAAGCGUGGGGAGCAAACAGGAUUAGAUACCCUGGUAGUCCACGCCGUAAACGAUGAGUGCUAAGUGUUGGAGGGUUUCCGCCCUUCAGUGCUGCAGCAAACGCAUUAAGCACUCCGCCUGGGGAGUACGACCGCAAGGUUGAAACUCAAAGGAAUUGACGGGGGCCCGACAAGCGGUGGAGCAUGUGUUUAAUUCGAAGCAACGCGAAGAACCUUACCAGGUCUUGACAUCCUUUGACCACUCUAGAGAUAGAGCUUUCCCUUCGGGGACAAAGUGACAGUGGUGCAUGGUUGUCGUCAGCUCGUGUCGUGAGAUGUUGGGUUAAGUCCGCAACGAGCGCAACCCUUAUUGUUAGUUGCCAUCAUUUAGUUGGGCACUCUAGCGAGACUGCCGGUGACAAACCGGAGGAAGGUGGGGAUGACGUCAAAUCAUCAUGCCCCUUAUGACCUGGGCUACACACGUGCUACAAUGGGAAGUACAACGAGUCGCUAGACCGCGAGGUCAUGCAAAUCUCUUAAAGCUUCUCUCAGUUCGGAUUGCAGGCUGCAACUCGCCUGCAUGAAGCCGGAAUCGCUAGUAAUCGCGGAUCAGCACGCCGCGGUGAAUACGUUCCCGGGCCUUGUACACACCGCCCGUCACACCACGAGAGUUUGUAACACCCGAAGUCGGUGAGGUAACCUUUUUGGAGCCAGCCGCCUAAGGUGGGAUAGAUGAUUUGGGUGAAGUCGUAACAAGGUAAC
This 1516-nucleotide ribosomal RNA is filed under the name Enterococcus faecalis. RNAcentral's name for it is "bacterial SSU rRNA". It matches the Rfam family "Bacterial small subunit ribosomal RNA". Lineage: Bacteria; Bacillati; Bacillota; Bacilli; Lactobacillales; Enterococcaceae. The record is from RNAcentral.